UGGAGACUGCAACCAAGAAACCAGAGGAAGAUUGAGAUUUGAAAGGGCAGCAAUGAAGCAACUAGAAAAAGUUCUGCACUUAGGAAGGAAAAAUCAGAUGCACAAACAUAGCAUAUGUGAAAACUGGCUCAGAGGUAGUACAUGUGAGAAGGAUCUAGGGGCCUAGUAGAUCACAAGCUAAACAUGAGACAAGUCUGAUGCAGCAACAGUAAGGGAAAAAAGAUGAAUAACAUACUUGAAUGUAUCAACAGAUAUGUAGCAUCCAGAUCAAGAUAUUUAUACUGCCACCCUGAAGCCAGAAACAGAUGUUUUAAUAAAUACUCAGAAGAUUUUCACAUCAAAGCCACAAAGCCAUGCCCUGUCCAGAGAAAACAUAUUUUUUCAAAGGAGAUAUUCAAAGCAGAUGAAAAGCCAGCACAGAAAAAUCAGCAAGAAAAUGCAGUGCCUCAAAGUGGAAAUGGUUCAGCUGUUCCAGCUACCAACAGUACACUACUUACUGGCAGGAAGACAACAGAGAAAGACAGCAAGCACAGAACUGACACUUCUGGAUCAUCUCUUUGCAUCCUACUAUAAAAGGGACCUAAAUGAAUAUAUAUCAGACAGAUAUAAUAAGCUUAAAGAACUUAAUUAGAAGUUGCUUAGUAGAAAGCAUUUUUUUCAUUAAAGAUUGUACCGUCCUGACAAGGACCUUUUGGUAGACUUUCCUUUUACCACUUGACCCGGCAUUGCAAUGUCCUAGAUACCACCCUUGAGACAAUUUUUAAAGUUUGCCUUGGAUAGCUGGAAGCUGGCAGAGGUCUUGCUUUCAAUUGCCUCACCUUCCCCCUUUUCUCUCUGGAAUAACAAAUCUGAGUCCCACAUGGUCCCAGCCUGUUCUUUAGAAAGGAAACAAGAUGAGGCAGCUGGAAACAAGAGCUCGGUCGCCUUCUAGCCACCCACAUCAAAACUCUGUUGGCCAAAGAGGAGAGACAGAACAAGAGGGAAAGCUGAUGCUCAGAAAAUCUGGACACUGGAGAUAAAGAAGCCAGCAGUAAAUAAGAGAAAGGGCAAAAAGUUUGCGUGUGUUUGGGCUGAGAAGAGGUACGCUAAGGAAAAUUGAAUGGUAAAUGUGAGUGGAUCUUCCAUGUUAGGAAUGCAGACUAAUUUUGUGUUUUGAGCUCAGACACAAACAUGGGAGUCAAGUCACUUUUAAUACAAAGACCAGUAUCCAAAUACACAAAGAAAACAAUCUACAAAAUAACACAUUUUCUUAUAUAAGAACAUAUAUGUAAGAGUUAAAAAUAUUCUAAAGAGAUGUGAUAAGUACUGCUGGCUCAAAUCCCUUUUGAGGAUUCCCACAGGUAGCUAAAACCUAUCAUUAAUUUGUUAAAACCUUCGUCUCACAACUGUUAAUUGCAGAUGCCCAAAAACAUGGGAGUAAUAUGCCAUUUUUAUGAUUAUUAAGGGGACAAAUCUUACUGUAAAAAAUAAUAUUAACUAUUAACAUUGACCAAAAUUUUAUUGAAUUUUUACACUUGUAUAACAUAGUGUAAAUCCUGGUGUUGACAUCUCACAAGUUAAUAAAUUAGUGUAUUAAUGCACCAAGCUGUGUUACCAACAAACCACCUACACUAAUGCCUGAAUUUUGUGCCAAUUCAAUGCCAAUAUUUACACCAUGUUACUCCAGCAAGCAUAACUACUGUAAUAGGAUUCUGUCCUUUUGAAGUAUGUGUAUUA
Non-coding RNA from Pogona vitticeps (central bearded dragon), 1716 nucleotides. NCBI's taxonomy places the organism in Eukaryota, Metazoa, Chordata, Lepidosauria, Squamata, Agamidae. The record is from RefSeq and is a predicted model, not a curated record.